Molecule: ribosomal RNA, 404 nt
Filed under: Fusobacteriota bacterium
Lineage: Bacteria; Fusobacteriati; Fusobacteriota
Description: Fusobacteria bacterium partial 16S ribosomal RNA
Rfam family: Bacterial small subunit ribosomal RNA
Source: RNAcentral
UGGGGAAUAUUGCACAAUGGAGGGAACUCUGAUGCAGCGACGCCGCGUGAGUGAUGAAGGAAUUCGUUUCGUAAAACUCUGUUCUAUGGGAAGAAAAGGACUGUACCAUAGGAGAAAGCUCCGGCUAAAUACGUGCCAGCAGCCGCGGUAAUACGUAUGGAGCGAGCGUUGUCCGGAAUUAUUGGGCGUAAAGGGUGCGCAGGCGGCUUAACAAGUUGGAUGUGAAAUAUUGUGGCUCAACCACAAACGUGCAUCCAAAACUGCAAAGCUUGAGUUAAGGAGAGGUAAGUGGAAUUCCUGGUGUAGCGGUGGAAUGCGUAGAUAUCAGGAGGAAUACCGGUGGCGAAGGCGACUUACUGGACUUAAACUGACGCUCAGGCACGAAAGCGUGGGGAGCAAACAGG